GGAAUCUUGGACAAUGGGGGCAACCCUGAUCCAGCGACGCCGCGUGGGUGAUGAAGGCCUUCGGGUUGUAAAGCUCUUUCGCCCGCGACGAUGCUGACGGUAGCGGGAGACGAAGCACCGGCUAACUCCGUGCCAGCAGCCGCGGUAAUACGGAGGGGGCUAGCGUUGUUCGGAAUUACUGGGCGUAAAGGGCGCGCAGGCGGCUGCUCAAGUCAGGCGUGAAAGGCCUGGGCUCAACCCGGGAAUUGCGCUUGAGACUGGGCUGGCUUGAGUGCGGGAGAGGAUGGUGGAAUUCCCAGUGUAGAGGCGAAAUUCGUAGAUAUUGGGAAGAACACCGGUGGCGAAGGCGGCCAUCUGGACCGCAACUGACGCUGAGGCGCGAAAGCGUGGGGAGCAAA
This 398-nucleotide ribosomal RNA is filed under the name uncultured bacterium. RNAcentral's name for it is "bacterial SSU rRNA". It matches the Rfam family "Bacterial small subunit ribosomal RNA", at positions 358 to 772 of the family's 1533-position model. The record is from RNAcentral.